This 460-nucleotide ribosomal RNA is filed under the name uncultured bacterium. Its description in RNAcentral is "partial 16S ribosomal RNA". It matches the Rfam family "Bacterial small subunit ribosomal RNA", at positions 338 to 795 of the family's 1533-position model. The record is from RNAcentral.
CCUACGGGAGGCCGCAGUGAGGAAUAUUUGUCAAUGGACGAUAGUCUGAACCAGCCAAGUAGCGUGAAUGAUGACUGCCCUAUGGGUUGUAAACUUCUUUUAUAUGGGAAUAAAAUGUUCCACGUGUGGGAUUUUGUAUGUACCAUAUGAAUACGGAUCGGCUAACUCCGUUCCAGCAGCCGCGGUAAUACGGUGGAUCCGAGCGUUAUCCGGAUUUAUUGUGUUUAAAGGUAGCGUAUGUGGAUUGUUAAGUCAGUUGUGAAAGUUUGCGGCUCAACCGGAAAAUGGCAGUUGAGGCUGGGAGUCUUGAGUACAGUAGAGGUGGGCGGAAUUCGUGGUGUAGCGGUGAAAUGCUUAGAUAUCACGAAGAACUCCGAUUGCGAAGGCAGCUCACUGGACUGCAACUGACACUGAGGCUCGAAAGUGUGGGGAUCAAACAGGAUUAGAUACCCGAGUAGUC